RNAcentral lists this ribosomal RNA (823 nucleotides) under uncultured bacterium. RNAcentral's name for it is "bacterial SSU rRNA". It matches the Rfam family "Bacterial small subunit ribosomal RNA", at positions 8 to 854 of the family's 1533-position model. The record is from RNAcentral.
AGAGUUUGAUCAUGGCUCAGGAUGAACGCUGGCGGCGUGCCUAAUACAUGCAAGUCGAACGGUCGGCCUUCGGGCCGAUAGUGGCGAACGGGUGAGUAACGCGUUGGUGACCUGCCCCGAAGUGAGGGAUACCAGGCCGAAAGGCCUGCUAAUACCGCAUGAGCUAGCCAUAGCUUAGGAAGUGGUUAGGAAAGGAGAAAUCCGCUUUGGGAGGGGCCUGCGUCCCAUCAGCUAGUUGGUAAGGUAACGGCUUACCAAGGCGAUGACGGGUAGGGGACCUGAGAGGGUGACCCCCCACAAUGGAACUGAAACACGGUCCAUACACCUACGGGUGGCAGCAGUAGGGAAUAUUGGUGAAUGGGCGAAAGCCUGAACCAGCAACGCCGCGUGUGCGAUGAAGGCCUUCGGGUUGUAAAGCACUUUUCACUGGGAAGAGGAAGGACGGUACCAGUGGAAUAAGCCUCGGCUAACUACGUGCCAGCAGCCGCGGUAAAACGUAGGAGGCGAGCGUUAUCCGGAUUUACUGGGUGUAAAGCGCGUGCAGGCGGCUCGUUAAGUUGGGUGUGAAAGCUCCUGGCUCAACCGGGAGAGGUCGCUCAAGACUGGCGGGCCAGAGAGUGNUAGAGGAAGGUGGAAUUCCGGGUGUAGUGGUGAAAUGCGUAGAUAUCCGGAGGAACACCAGUGGCGAAAGCGGCCUUCUGGGCCACAUCUGACGCUCAGACGCGAAAGCUAGGGUAGCAAACGGGAUUAGAGACCCCGGUAGUCCUAGCCGUAAACNAUGUGAACUUGGCGCGNUCGNNAAAACCGGUCCGUGCCGCANCCA